Molecule: non-coding RNA, 35 nt
Organism: Bacteroidales bacterium 52_46
Lineage: Bacteria; Pseudomonadati; Bacteroidota; Bacteroidia; Bacteroidales
Source: Rfam
GACUAUAAUUUAUCACCUCUCUAUAGUCGCGGCUG